Molecule: ribosomal RNA, 48 nt
Filed under: Coralliophila meyendorffii
Lineage: Eukaryota; Metazoa; Mollusca; Gastropoda; Neogastropoda; Muricidae
Description: partial 28S ribosomal RNA
Source: RNAcentral
UCCGACCUCAGAUCGGACGAGAUUACCCGCUGAAUUUAAGCAUAUCAC